This 468-nucleotide ribosomal RNA is filed under the name uncultured bacterium. RNAcentral's name for it is "partial 16S ribosomal RNA". It matches the Rfam family "Bacterial small subunit ribosomal RNA", at positions 28 to 507 of the family's 1533-position model. The record is from RNAcentral.
GACGAACGCUGGCGGCGUGCUUAACACAUGCAAGUCGAACGGAAAGGCCCUGCUUUUGUGGGGUGCUCGAGUGGCGAACGGGUGAGUAACACGUGAGUAACCUGCCCUUGACUUUGGGAUAACUUCAGGAAACUGGGGCUAAUACCGGAUAGGAGCUCCUGCUGCAUGGCGGGGGUUGGAAAGUUUCGGCGGUUGGGGAUGGACUUGCGGCUUAUCAGCUUGUUGGUGGGGUAGUGGCUUACCAAGGCUUUGACGGGUAGCCGGCCUGAGAGGGUGACCGGCCACAUUGGGACUGAGAUACGGCCCAGACUCCUACGGGAGGCAGCAGUGGGGAAUAUUGCACAAUGGGCGGAAGCCUGAUGCAGCAACGCCGCGUGCGGGAUGACGGCCUUCGGGUUGUAAACCGCUUUCGCCUGUGACGAAGCGUGAGUGACGGUAAUGGGUAAAGAAGCACCGGCUAACUACGUG